RNAcentral lists this transfer RNA (90 nucleotides) under Colletotrichum cereale. RNAcentral describes it as "tRNA-Gln". It matches the Rfam family "tRNA". From Rfam's summary of the family: Transfer RNA (tRNA) molecules are approximately 80 nucleotides in length. Lineage: Eukaryota; Fungi; Ascomycota; Sordariomycetes; Glomerellales; Glomerellaceae. The record is from RNAcentral.
GGUUGUGUAGUGUAGUGGUCAUCACUCCGGAUUUUGAUCACAUCAAAAUCGCUUAUUCCGGCGACCCCGGUUCGAACCCGGGCACGACCU